AUGGGUCGCAUGCGCUAUGCUGCCGAUGAUGAUGCCGGUAAUGGGAGCAGCAGCAGCGACACUGGCUACAGCCAAAGCAGCAGCGGCUAUGACUGUAGCGAAAGCAGCAACGAUUCUGGCUGUAGCGAAAGCAGCAGCAAUUCUGGCAGCAGCAUAGACAACAAGAAGGAUGAUCCGGACUGGAAUGCGGGAGAAGAGGAGCAGAGUGAGGAUGAGGAGCUGCAGGAUGACGAUGGGCAUCAGGCUGAGGAUGACCUAGCGCUGGUGGUGGCUGACCAAGGGCAAGAGAUGGUGGUGGCUGACCAUGGGCAAGAGAUGGAGGUGGCUGAGGAUGACCUAGCGAUGGUCGUGCCUGAAGGUGGCCUCGCGAUGGUGGUGGUGCCUGACAAUGACCACGCACCGGUGGUGGCGCCGGCGAUCCCACAGCUGGGCGACAUGACCACGCCAAUUGUGGUAGAAGACUACAUCCCACUGCCUCCACUGCCUCCACCGCCUCGCCGCUCUAGGCACAUCAGGGAGAGGAAGGAGAAGAAUGAGAAGAACAAUGCAUGA
RNAcentral lists this ribosomal RNA (552 nucleotides) under Triticum aestivum (bread wheat). RNAcentral's name for it is "partial small subunit ribosomal RNA". Lineage: Eukaryota; Viridiplantae; Streptophyta; Magnoliopsida; Poales; Poaceae. The record is from RNAcentral.